Molecule: ribosomal RNA, 1472 nt
Filed under: uncultured bacterium
Lineage: Bacteria
Description: bacterial SSU rRNA
Rfam family: Bacterial small subunit ribosomal RNA
Source: RNAcentral
AUGGCUCAGGAUGAACGCUAGCGGCAGGCUUAACACAUGCAAGUCGAGGGGCAGCAUGGGAGUAGCAAUACUUCUGAUGGCGACCGGCGCACGGGUGCGUAACGCGUAUGCAACCUACCUGUAACAGGGGGAUAACACUGAGAAAUCGGUACUAAUACCGCAUAACACUAUGAGAGGCAUCUCUUGUGGUUGAAAGUUUCGGCGGUUACAGAUGGGCAUGCGUUGUAUUAGCUGGUUGGUAAGGUAACGGCUUACCAAGGCGACGAUACAUAGGGGGACUGAGAGGUUAACCCCCCACAUUGGUACUGAGACACGGACCAAACUCCUACGGGAGGCAGCAGUGAGGAAUAUUGGUCAAUGGACGGAAGUCUGAACCAGCCAUGCCGCGUGCAGGAAGACGGCUCUAUGAGUUGUAAACUGCUUUCGUACAAGGGUAAACCUGAAUACGUGUAUUCAGCUGAAAGUAUUGUACGAAUAAGGAUCGGCUAACUCCGUGCCAGCAGCCGCGGUAAUACGGAGGAUCCAAGCGUUAUCCGGAUUUAUUGGGUUUAAAGGGUGCGUAGGCGGAUUGAUAAGUUAGAGGUGAAAUGUCCGAGCUCAACUCGGGAACUGCCUCUAAUACUGUUGAUCUAGAGAGUAGAUGCGGUAGGCGGAAUGUAUGGUGUAGCGGUGAAAUGCUUAGAGAUCAUACAGAACACCGAUUGCGAAGGCAGCUUACCAAUCUAUAUCUGACGUUGAGGCACGAAAGCGUGGGGAGCAAACAGGAUUAGAUACCCUGGUAGUCCACGCAGUAAACGAUGAUAGCUCGUUGUCGGCGAUACACAGUCGGUGACUAAGAGAAAUCGAUAAGCUAUCCACCUGGGGAGUACGUUCGCAAGAAUGAAACUCAAAGGAAUUGACGGGGGCCCGCACAAGCGGAGGAACAUGUGGUUUAAUUCGAUGAUACGCGAGGAACCUUACCCGGGCUUGAAAGUUAGUGACUGAUCUGGAAACAGGUCUUCCCUUCGGGGCACGAAACUAGGUGCUGCAUGGUUGUCGUCAGCUCGUGCCGUGAGGUGUCGGGUUAAGUCCCAUAACGAGCGCAACCCCUACUGAUAGUUGCCAUCAGGUCAAGCUGGGCACUCUAUCGGGACUGCCGGUGUAAGCCGGAGGAGGGUGGGGAUGACGUCAAAUCAGCACGGCCCUUACGUCCGGGGCGACACACGUGUUACAAUGGUAGGUACAGAGGGCCGCUACCCAGCGAUGGGGUGCAAAUCUCGAAAGCCUAUCUCAGUUCGGAUUGGAGGCUGAAACUCGCCUCCAUGAAGUUGGAUUCGCUAGUAAUCGCGCAUCAGCCAUGGCGCGGUGAAUACGUUCCCGGGCCUUGUACACACCGCCCGUCAAGCCAUGGGAGUUGGGGGUGCCUGAAGUUCGUGACCGCAAGGAGCGACCUAGGGCAAAACUAAUGACUGGGGCUAAGUCGUAACAAGGUA